GAUGAACGCUGGCGGCGUGCCUAAUACAUGCAAGUCGAGCGAACAGACGAGGAGCUUGCUCCUCUGACGUUAGCGGCGGACGGGUGAGUAACACGUGGAUAACCUACCUAUAAGACUGGGAUAACUUCGGGAAACCGGAGCUAAUACCGGAUAAUAUAUUGAACCGCAUGGUUCAAUAGUGAAAGACGGUUUUGCUGUCACUUAUAGAUGGAUCCGCGCCGCAUUAGCUAGUUGGUAAGGUAACGGCUUACCAAGACAACGAUGCGUAGCCGACCUGAGAGGGUGAUCGGCCACACUGGACCUGAGCCCCGGUCAAGACUCCUACGGGAGGCAGCAGUAGGGAAUCUUCCGCAAUGGGCGAAAGCCUGACGGAGCAACGCCGCGUGAGUGAUGAAGGUCUUCGGAUCGUAAAACUCUGUUAUUAGGGAAGAACAAAUGUGUAAGUAACUAUGCACGUCUUGACGGUACCUAAUCAGAAAGCCACGGCUAACUACGU
This 496-nucleotide ribosomal RNA is filed under the name uncultured bacterium. RNAcentral describes it as "partial 16S ribosomal RNA". It matches the Rfam family "Bacterial small subunit ribosomal RNA", at positions 28 to 506 of the family's 1533-position model. The record is from RNAcentral.